This 377-nucleotide RNase P RNA is filed under the name Oscillospiraceae bacterium. RNAcentral's name for it is "RNase P RNA component class A". It matches the Rfam family "Bacterial RNase P class A". Rfam says of the family: Ribonuclease P (RNase P) is a ubiquitous endoribonuclease, found in archaea, bacteria and eukarya as well as chloroplasts and mitochondria. The record is from RNAcentral. Lineage: Bacteria; Bacillati; Bacillota; Clostridia; Eubacteriales; Oscillospiraceae.
UGAGCAGACUGCGCAGCCGCGGCAGCGCUUUUUAUGCUGACGAGGAAAGUCCGGGCAUCACAGAGCAGGGUAACUGCUAACGGCAGCCGGGGGUGACCCCAGGGCCAGUGCAACAGAAAUGAAACUGCUCCGCGCCUUCGGUGCGGUGCGAUGGUGGAAAGGCGGGGUAAGAGCCCACCAGAGAAUGCGAGAGCAUUCUGCUGUGUAAACCCUACCCGAUGCAACGCUGAUUGGUGUGUCAGGUCAUAACGUCUGCUCGGCGGAUCUGAUGCAAAGGCGGCUUGAGCGCUCCGGCGACAGAGCGCCUAGAUAAAUGGCUGCACCCGUUAUCCUUAGGAAUAACAGGACAGAACCCGGCUUACAGGUCUGGUCACAUC